AUUGAACGCUGGCGGCAGGCCUAACACAUGCAAGUCGAGCGGAGGUAGCAAUACCUUAGCGGCGGACGGGUGAGGAAUGCAUCGGAACGUGCCGAGUAGUGGGGGAUAACGCAGGGAAACUUGCGCUAAUACCGCAUACGCCCCGAGGGGGAAAGUGGGGGACCGCAAGGCCUCACGCUAUUUGAGCGGCCGAUGCCCGAUUAGCUAGUUGGUGAGGUAAUGGCUCACCAAGGCGACGAUCGGUAGCUGGUCUGAGAGGAUGAUCAGCCACACCGGAACUGAGACACGGUCCAGACUCCUACGGGAGGCAGCAGUGGGGAAUAUUGGACAAUGGGGGCGAACCCUGAUCCAGCCAUGCCGCGUGAGUGAAG
RNAcentral lists this ribosomal RNA (371 nucleotides) under uncultured bacterium. RNAcentral's name for it is "bacterial SSU rRNA". It matches the Rfam family "Bacterial small subunit ribosomal RNA", at positions 29 to 410 of the family's 1533-position model. The record is from RNAcentral.